UUGCUUUCUUGCUUGGGCAGGCGCUGCUCCUGCUUCCUUGCUUGCUUCGGUGAGUAAUUGCUGCUCCAGCUUGCCUGCUUGGGUGGGCGCUGCUCCUGCUUGCUUGCUUCGGUGAGUGCUGCUCCUGCUUGCUUGCAUGCUUGGGUGAGUGCUUCUCACCCAAAGCCUUUGGCAGGGUCCCUCAUCACAUCCUGCUCUCCAAGAUGGAGAGGUGUGGAUUUGAAGGAUGGACUGCUCGGUGGGUUAAGAAGUGCUCGGCUGGUCGCAGCCAAAGGGCUGUGCUCCAUGGUGCUGUGUCAGGGUGGAGGCCGGUGACGAGCGGUGUCCCCCAGGGCUCAGUCCUGGGCCCGGUGCUCUUCAGCAUCUUCACCAAUGACACAGACGAUGGCAUCGAGUGCACCCGCAGCAAGUUUGCAGAUGACACCGAGCUGAGCGGUGCAGCCGAUGCAUGGAGGGAAGGGAACCACCCAGAGGGACCCAGUGGGCGCACGAGAACCUCAUGAGGUUCAACAAGGCCAAGCGCAAGGUGCUGCACUCGGGCCGGGGCAAUCCCGGGUGUGCGUACAAAGAUGGGGGAAGAUCUCCCAGAGAGCAGCCCUGCAGAGAAGGACUUGGGGGUUCUGGUGGACGAGAAGCUGGGCAUGAGCCAGCAGCCAACCAUGUUCUGGGCUGCAUGAAAAGAGGAGCGGGCAGCAGGGACAGGGACGGGAUUGUCCCCUGCUACUGGGCUCCGGACAGGAGCUGGUCGACGUCGCUCGACACCCAUUGCAGCAAAUGGAGGUUUCUGCAUCCAGCGCAGGCCCUGCGCCCUCCCAGUGCUUAGCCCUCGUCCCCUACCGUGGGGGGCAGAGCUGGCCCUGGGAUGGGGCUUGGGUUAGGGAGGAGCUCAGGGCCCUCCCGGACCCCAUUCCUGUGCAGCCCGAUGCUUGCGAGCUGCCCGUGUCCAUCCUGGUGCCUGAAGCGGUGGACGCCAUUGAGGCCUUCGUGCAGAGCGCAGAGAAGCCGCAGGACAAGGAGCAGAGGAUGGAAUUCCUGCAGAGCAUCUGCACCGUCUGCAACACGGCGGUGGAGAGGAACCUGCCCUGCGGACUGAGCGCCUUCUGCUGCCGCAACAAGCUGGCUGAGAACAUCACGGAGCUGCUGGUAGAGGAGAAUCGGGGGAAGCUGUGCUUGGAACUGUGGCAGCUCGCCAUGGCCGCCAUCACCGCCCUCAGGGCAGGGCAGAGCAGCAGCUCCUCUUCCCGCAGGUGCUGCUGCCUUUCACCUGCUCGCAGAACGCGGUCGCGCGCCACGGGGCGGUGAGCUGGAUCUGGAAGCUGAGCCAGUCGUUAGCGGACUUGUGCCAGGGCAGGGUAAGAGGCCGACCCCCCCGGUGCGGGGGUCCUGGUCCCUCCUUUUCCCCGCUCUGCCCGGCCCGCUCCCAUGGCCGGGGCUGCACUCAGCGUUCCGCUCUCUGCGCGCAGCUCCCCGGCUUCUCAGGACUGAGCGGCUCGGUGCGCUUCCAAGCUCUCCAUGUGCCCGUGCUGGGGGAGCUGGUGGGAAAGCUGGUGCUGUGCUGCGCCGACCCGGAGAAGAAGCUGCGCUUUCACGCUUUGCGCGCCCUCCACCAACUCUACAGCUUCGUCCUGGAGAGAGCCCGUAAGACGACGGCUGCUGACCGCCUCCGUCCGUCGCAGACAUCCCACGGGGCCGAGCGUGGACGGCGCGGCGUCGGCUGCCGCUGCGAGCGGCGAAGCAAUGGAACCCCGUGGGGUUUUUUUCUGGGGGUGGUAGCUGCCCCCCACGGCCCCGCGCUCGGGGUUGGUGGGGGGUCAGCUGUCCCGCUCCCCGCACGCUGCUCACAUCUCGCGUCCCCUGUGGUUUGUUCUCGUUUCCAGGCUGGGAAGCGCAGUCGGAGGAGCAGGAGAAAUCCAAGGAGUGGCAAGCUGAGCAAGAGUUCUGCGUCACCUGGACCACCAACACCUCGAUCAUUGUGGCGGUGAGGAGAGCUCGCCACGCUGGGGCUCGUGGCCGUGGGCUCGGCAGGGAUAGGGGGAACACGGCUGAUGUUGCCAUGCCCCUCCUUCUCCCCCCCCCAGAAUUUUGUGAAGCACCUCCGCUCUUGGGAGAACACCGACCUCCUCCUCGUGGCGCUGCGGGGCAUGAGGGACCGCAGCAGCUACAACACCCAGGCGGCUGCCACCAUGCUGUCCGUCCUGAUGGUCCACCUCUACCCGACGGCCGACGACGUGAGCAACCGGCAGCUGCUUGCUGGGGGGCAGCGCCCAUGGGGGAGCGGGGUUGGGGUCAGGUUGGGUGCUGG
Molecule: long non-coding RNA, 2302 nt
Organism: Numida meleagris (helmeted guineafowl)
Lineage: Eukaryota; Metazoa; Chordata; Aves; Galliformes; Numididae
Source: Ensembl